UACGAAGGGGGCUAGCGUUGUUCGGAAUUACUGGGCGUAAGGCGCGCGCAGGCGGUCUUCCAAGUCAGUGGUGAAAGCCCGGAGCUCAACUCCGGAACUGCCAUUGAAACUGUAAGACUUGAGGAUGAGAGAGGUGAGUGGAAUUCCCAGUGUAGAGGUGAAAUGCGUAGAUAUUGGGAGGAACGCCGGUGGCGAAGGCGGCUCACUGGCUCAUAUCUGACGCUGAGGCGCGACAGCGUGGGGAGCAAACAGG
This 253-nucleotide ribosomal RNA is filed under the name uncultured bacterium. RNAcentral's name for it is "partial 16S ribosomal RNA". It matches the Rfam family "Bacterial small subunit ribosomal RNA", at positions 524 to 776 of the family's 1533-position model. The record is from RNAcentral.